Neogale vison (American mink) is the source of this 423-nucleotide long non-coding RNA. RefSeq lists it as uncharacterized. Lineage: Eukaryota; Metazoa; Chordata; Mammalia; Carnivora; Mustelidae. The transcript has 2 exons. The record is from RefSeq and is a predicted model, not a curated record.
ACCUGUUCUAUUGGAAAUCUACCAAGACUUCCUAUACUUAAAUUGUCUCCUAUUCCAACUUACCUUGGAAAGUCUUCCAUUGGUGCUGAUGGCCAAAGAAGCUGUUGUAUUCUGAGACCUUCUAAGGAUACCACUAAGGACACUUACUGUGAUCUAUCAACAUUUUCUCAAGACUAUAGCUAAGAGAAAAAGUGAUUUUCCCAGGAAAUGAAUGCAGAGUCAAAUCAGAACUGGUGUGCUCACUCCUGGACCAAACAACUCUCCUGAUACCAUGCCAUACUAACAAUCUAUUGUUAUUUACCUGGAUUCCUCAAAGAAGCCAAAUAUAUGUAAGAAGAGUUAAAAGCUGAAACUAUAUUGCCUAUUACAAUAUGUUACAGUAAUGCCAUAUGAGCCUUAAUGUUAAUAAAAAGAGUGAGAUCA